This is a small nuclear RNA of Arvicanthis niloticus (Nile rat), 104 nucleotides long. Lineage: Eukaryota; Metazoa; Chordata; Mammalia; Rodentia; Muridae. The record is from RefSeq and is a predicted model, not a curated record.
GUGCUCACUUCGGCAGCACAUAUACUAAAAUUGGAAUGAUACAGAGAAGAUUAGCAUGGACCCUGCACAAGGAUUGACAUAUUUUAGAUAACUUGGUCUAUCUU